GAACAGAAGUUGGGUUACAUACUUAGUUAGAUUACCACUUCUUUACUUAUCAAAGCCAGGUACUUAGGACGAUUCACGGCUCAGCUGAAGGUUGAAUAAUAUGUUUACUAGCCGCCUAUGUAUUCUUAUGUAUAAUCUUGAAAAUUAUGUGACAGAUAAAACGGAAAAAAAAAAGUUGAAAAAAGUCUACCAGUUGCAAGUAGGCUAAUAUAUUGCUAGCGCUAAUUAUUUUAUAACUUGAAUUACAUUAUAGAGAUAAACACCUUAAUCUUCAUGAUUGCUCUUCUGACCCUAGGAUGCAAACGCACGCGUUUAAAAGGAUCAGCCCAAUACGCCACUAUUUGUAACGAAGAAAAGCGAGCCUUAGUCUGGUCUCAUUGAACGCAUCUUCCAGGAUAACUCACUCAUAACAGAAAAAAUGACCGAUUAUCGAUUACGAUAUAAAAAUUUGGAAACAAACACAAAAUAAAUCUUUUUCACAACUUGCAUUAGUAAAAGUAAUGAGGUGUAUGUCGUAGCUUUCGGUUUAAAAUAAUGUCACUGCUAUUUUUUUUAAUGAGAAAUAUUAUAUAAGUAACUUAUUACCAAUGAGUAGCGCUUGGAAUAACUUAAGAAAAAAUUAUGAUAGAAUUACGUCAUGUUCAGAUACAUAUUGCCACCUUCUCUCGAGUUUUGCAUAAAAAAAGUAAUAUUCUCAGUGAUCAGACUCACUAAGCGAGAAUGGAAUUUUAAACGUAAAACGUGCAGAGGAUUACUUGAAUAAUCAUUGCAUCCCAAUUGAUAUUUUGACUUAUACGCGUGCAUAAUACCUUUUUAUUUAAUUUUGUAUUUAUGAAAAGUGAAAGUGGUGUUAGGGAAGUUUUCCAUUAGUCCAAAAUAAAUAACAGGUCAUCGCUGGUAACAGCGACAAUACACCUUACCAUAUCAUCGUUAGCUUGUACGUGAGGGUUUAGCAAUCUUCUGUGGAUUCAUUACCAAAGAAGAAGAAUGGCAACAUGUGUUGCAUUAUCUUCUGUUCUGUUUCGUGCUUAAAGUUCCGACACACAUUUCACCAAAUGCUAGGUGACUUACUUACAUAAAGCGAGGGUCAGUUCACCCACAAAGUUCAUUUAAUUCUCAAAGCUGAAGACAGUACGAGUUAGAAAUUACUUAUUUCUUAAUUCUGUCGAAUGAAAGACGUCGUCAAACAAUGUAAAUUACCCUACUGACCUUUGAAAGUAGGGGAAUAUUCGGUAAAAAAAAAAAAUUAUCCGAUAUCUUUAAACAUUUCAAGAGAAAUUUACUACCAAUUAGGGAGUCCUCAAAACCCAAAAAGUCGGUUUUUCUCUUUUGGCAUCGUAAGUUUUUGCAGUUGCUAGGUAAAAAAAAAAAAAAUUUUUGGCUUAGUCAUUUUAAGUCGAAAGAAUACUUAACUAAAAGCAAACAGCCUGAAAAAUCCUUUUCUGAAUCUUGAAAACUAUCAGUCAUGGAUAGAAAAUUGAUCCAAAAUUUUAAUUGUUAUGGUUACUCAUCAGAGACCAAAUGACAUCUAAAGGAAACACUCUAAGCGGGACUGAAACUUAAGUUGACAGAGUAUUAACACUUUCACAAAUAUUUGGUUCGUGCAAACAGAAUUGAAAAUAUGUCUUAUAGUCGUCUCACAUAAAAGGAAGGAACUUUGAUGAAUUAAUAUAUUGAAGAGCAAUCUAUAUCGUUUUCGGAUUAAUAUUAAACGACAGUUAAAAUA
Molecule: long non-coding RNA, 1726 nt
Filed under: Pocillopora damicornis (cauliflower coral)
Lineage: Eukaryota; Metazoa; Cnidaria; Anthozoa; Scleractinia; Pocilloporidae
Description: uncharacterized LOC113678203
Source: RNAcentral